RNAcentral lists this ribosomal RNA (465 nucleotides) under Vreelandella stevensii. RNAcentral's name for it is "partial 16S ribosomal RNA". It matches the Rfam family "Bacterial small subunit ribosomal RNA", at positions 338 to 795 of the family's 1533-position model. The record is from RNAcentral. Lineage: Bacteria; Pseudomonadati; Pseudomonadota; Gammaproteobacteria; Oceanospirillales; Halomonadaceae.
CCUACGGGGGGCUGCAGUGGGGAAUAUUGGACAAUGGGGGGAACCCUGAUCCAGCCAUGCCGCGUGUGUGAAGAAGGCCCUCGGGUUGUAAAGCACUUUCAGUGAGGAAGAACGCCUGGUGGUUAAUACCCAUCAGGAAAGACAUCACUCACAGAAGAAGCACCGGCUAACUCCGUGCCAGCAGCCGCGGUAAUACGGAUGGUGCGAGCGUUAAUCGGAAUUACUGGGCGUAAAGCGCGCGUAGGUGGCUUGAUAAGCCGGUUGUGAAAGCCCCGGGCUCAACCUGGGAACGGCAUCCGGAACUGUCAAGCUAGAGUGCAGGAGAGGAAGGUAGAAUUCCCGGUGUAGCGGUGAAAUGCGUAGAGAUCGGGAGGAAUACCAGUGGCGAAGGCGGCCUUCUGGACUGACACUGACACUGAGGUGCGAAAGCGUGGGUAGCAAACAGGAUUAGAUACCCUUGUAGUC